This 801-nucleotide ribosomal RNA is filed under the name uncultured Bacteroidota bacterium. Its description in RNAcentral is "bacterial SSU rRNA". It matches the Rfam family "Bacterial small subunit ribosomal RNA", at positions 67 to 868 of the family's 1533-position model. Lineage: Bacteria; Pseudomonadati; Bacteroidota. The record is from RNAcentral.
GGGUAACAUGGUAGCAAUACUGAUGACGACUGGCGCACGGGUGCGUAACACGUAUGCAACCUACCUAUAACCGGGGAACAGCUCAUCGAAAGGUGAAUUAAUACCGCAUAACAUUACGAAACGACAUCGUUUUGUAAUUAAACUUCCGGGGGUUAUAGAUGGGCAUGCGUCCGAUUAGCUAGUUGGCGGGGUAACAGCCCACCAAGGCUACGAUCGGUAGGGGGUCUGAGAGGAUGAUCCCCCACACUGGUACUGAGACACGGACCAGACUCCUACGGGAGGCAGCAGUAAGGAAUAUUGGACAAUGGGGGCAACCCUGAUCCAGCCAUGCCGCGUGAAGGAUUAAGGACCUAUGGUCUGUAAACUUCUUUUAUACGGGACAAAACCCCUCCUCGUGAGGAGGGUUGAUGGUACUGUAAGAAUAAGGGUCGGCUAACUUCGUGCCAGCAGCCGCGGUAAUACGAAGGACCCGAGCGUUAUCCGGAUUUAUUGGGUUUAAAGGGUGCGUAGGCGGAUAAGCAAGUCAGUGGUGAAAUCUCUCCGCUCAACGGAGAAACUGCCAUUGAAACUACUUGUCUUGAGUACAUUUGAAGCGGGCGGAAUGUGUCAUGUAGCGGUGAAAUGCUUAGAUAUGACACAGAACACCAAUUGCGAAGGCAGCUCGCUAAACUGUAACUGACGCUGAGGCACGAAAGCGUGGGUAGCAAACAGGAUUAGAUACCCUGGUAGUCCACGCCCUAAACGAUGAUUACUCGAUGUGUGCGAUAAACUGCACGCGUCUUAGCGAAAGCAUUAAGUAAU